ACCAGACUCCUACGGGAGGCAGCAGUGGGGGAUAUUGCACAAUGGGGGGAACCCUGAUGCAGCGACGCCGCGUGGGUGAAGAAGUAUUUCGGUAUGUAAAGCCCUAUCGGCAGGGAAGAAAUUGGACGGUACCUGACUAAGAAGCCCUGGCUAACUACGUGCCAGCAGCCGCGGUAAUACGUAGGGGGCAAGCGUUAUCCGGAUUCACUGGGUGUAAAGGGAGCGUAGACGGCCAUGCAAGCCUGGAGUGAAAGCCCGGGGCCCAACCCCGGGACUGCUCUGGGAACUGUGCGGCUGGAGUGCGGGAGGGGCAGGCGGAAUUCCUGGUGUAGCGGUGAAAUGCGUAGAUAUCAGGAGGAACACCGGCGGCGAAGGCGGCCUGCUGGACCGCGACUGACGUUGAGGCUCGAAAGCGUGGGGAGCAAACAGGAUUAGAUACCCUCGUAC
This 447-nucleotide ribosomal RNA is filed under the name uncultured bacterium. RNAcentral's name for it is "bacterial SSU rRNA". It matches the Rfam family "Bacterial small subunit ribosomal RNA", at positions 330 to 793 of the family's 1533-position model. The record is from RNAcentral.